RNAcentral lists this ribosomal RNA (253 nucleotides) under uncultured bacterium. RNAcentral's name for it is "partial 16S ribosomal RNA". It matches the Rfam family "Bacterial small subunit ribosomal RNA", at positions 524 to 776 of the family's 1533-position model. The record is from RNAcentral.
UACGUAGGUUGCAAGCGUUAAUCGGAAUUACUGGGCGUAAAGCGUGCGCAGGCGGUUUUGUAAGUUUGUCGUGAAAGCCCCGGGCUCAACCUGGGAAUUGCGAUGGAGACUGCAAGGCUUGAAUCUGGCAGAGGGGGGUAGAAUUCCACGUGUAGCAGUGAAAUGCGUAGAGAUGUGGAGGAACACCGAUGGCGAAGGCAGCCCCCUGGGUCAAGAUUGACGCUCAUGCACGAAAGCGUGGGGAGCAAACAGG